RNAcentral lists this long non-coding RNA (489 nucleotides) under Sinocyclocheilus anshuiensis. RNAcentral's name for it is "lncRNA (ENSSANG00000042771.1)". The record is from RNAcentral. Lineage: Eukaryota; Metazoa; Chordata; Actinopteri; Cypriniformes; Cyprinidae.
GUUCCACUGUGUCCUUCGGCUGCGACUCGGGCUACCGCCUCAGCCACGAAGAGCCACUGGUCUGUGAAAAGAACCACUGGUGGAGCCAUCCACUACCCACCUGUGACGCACUCUGCGGGGGUGAUGUUCGAGGACCUGGAGGCACCAUCCUGUCCCCGGGAUACCCUGAGGUCUACCCCAGCUCCCUUAACUGCACCUGGACUGUGGAGGUCAGCCAUGGCAAAGGCGUUCAGUUCACCUUUUACACCUUCCACCUGGAGGAUCAUCAUGACUACCUGCUCAUCACUGAGAAUGGGAGUUUUGUUCAGCCGCUCGCCCGCCUCACAGGCGCAGAACUGCCCUCGCCCAUCAACGCGGGGCUCUAUGGCAACUUCAAGGCCCAGCUCCGCUUCAUAUCUGAUUUCUCCAUCUCCUACGAAGGUUUCAACAUCACAUUUUCAGGUGAGAUAUCCUGAGAAUAGAGCCUCCGAAGGGCACAGGGACGGUAGU